This 1080-nucleotide long non-coding RNA is filed under the name Ananas comosus (pineapple). Its description in RNAcentral is "long non-coding RNA (ACOM_LNC015693)". The record is from RNAcentral. Lineage: Eukaryota; Viridiplantae; Streptophyta; Magnoliopsida; Poales; Bromeliaceae.
UAUAUAGUCUGUCUCCCGUACUUUCGAAAAUACGGGACGCUCCUUGCUUGUAAGUUGUUUUCGAUGAUAGGACGUUUGAUUCGACGAUCAGCUCCAUUAGGUAUGAUCUACUCUAUUGAAACUAUCUAGAAAUUAAAUUUUAGAUUUUUUUGACAUCAUUUACUAAGCGAUCAAAAGGUCUAAAAAAUGACUAUUUUAACGGUCGAUGUGGCACAUUUUUAAGUUCAACGGUGUAGAAGUAUCCAAAUUACAUGAAAAUUUAAUAAAAAAUUCUACUUAACAUCAGUAGCGAGAUCAAUACUUCCGAUUUAUAAUUUGAAUCCUUUAUCACUGUUUUUUAUGAGAUUUUCAUUUUUAGCCGUUCAUUUUGAGGCUACUCGUUCACUAGACAAACGAAAUCAAAAAAUUAUAAAAUUUGGUUUCUAGAUAGUUCCAAUAGCGUAGAUCAAGUUUAACGGAACCGAUCGCCGAAUCGGAUGUCCCAUCAUCAAAAAUAACUUACAAGUACGGGGCUUCCCGUACUUUCGAAAGCAUAGGAGCCUAGCUCUACAUGAGUCCGUUUCCUGUACUUUCGAAAGUACGGGAGGCUCCGUGCUUGUAAGUUGUUUUCGAUGAUAGAACGUUCGAUUCGACGAUCAGCUCCGUUAAAUAUGAUCUACCCUAUUGGAACUAUCUAGAAACCAAAUUUUAGAUUUUUUUGACAUCAUUUACUAAGCGAUCAAAAGGUCUAAAAAAUGACUAUUUUAACGGUCGAUGUGGCACAUUUUUAAGUUCAACGGUGUAGAAGUAUUCAAAUUACAUAAAAAUUUAAUAGAAAAUUCUAUAUAAAAUUAGGCUACUGUACCAAGCACUUGGUGUUAUAAGAUUUUUAAUCUUUGGAUAAAAAAAUAUACGGUUAGGAUAAUAAUAAUUCCCUAGGAUUGAAUGGGUAGUGGCUAGUUGAAUAAUAUGUAACGAAUGCAAAUGAUCAAAGUGGUAAAUUUAACGAUAAAAAAUUCGAUAGCACCAAGUGCUUAGUAUUAUAGAUAGUAUAGAUUUUAUAUUUCAUCAAUUCAAGAUCAAUUUUAUUUCAUAUAUUCA